RNAcentral lists this transfer RNA (64 nucleotides) under Linuparus trigonus. RNAcentral's name for it is "tRNA-Asp". The record is from RNAcentral. Lineage: Eukaryota; Metazoa; Arthropoda; Malacostraca; Decapoda; Palinuridae.
GAAAAAUUAGUUAAUCCAUAACGUAAGUUUGUCAAGCUUAAAUAAUCCUUUUAGAUAUUUUUCA